RNAcentral lists this ribosomal RNA (301 nucleotides) under uncultured bacterium. RNAcentral's name for it is "partial 16S ribosomal RNA". It matches the Rfam family "Bacterial small subunit ribosomal RNA", at positions 509 to 807 of the family's 1533-position model. The record is from RNAcentral.
CAGUAGCCACGGUAAUACGUAGGGCGCGAGCGUUAAUCGGAAUUACUGGGCGUAAAGCGUGCGCAGGCGGUUAUAUAAGACAGAUGUGAAAUCCCCGGGCUCAACCUGGGACCUGCAUUUGUGACUGUAUAGCUAGAGUACGGUAGAGGGGGAUGGAAUUCCGCGUGUAGCAGUGAAAUGCGUAGAUAUGCGGAGGAACACCGAUGGCGAAGGCAAUCCCCUGGACCUGUACUGACGCUCAUGCACGAAAGCGUGGGGAGCAAACAGGAUUAGAUACCCCAGUAGUCCCUGUCUCUUAUAC